UCCGUAGGCGGGCGAUUAAGUCAGAGGUGAAAUCCCACAGCUCAACUGUGGAACUGCCUUUGAUACUGGUUGUCUUGAGUUAUAGUGAAGUAGAUAGAAUGUGUAGUGUAGCGGUGAAAUGCAUAGAUAUUACACAGAAUACCGAUUGCGAAGGCAGUCUACUAACUGUAUACUGACGCUAAUGGACGAAAGCGUGGGGAGCGAACAGGAUUAGAUACCCUGGUAGUCC
RNAcentral lists this ribosomal RNA (229 nucleotides) under uncultured bacterium. RNAcentral describes it as "partial 16S ribosomal RNA". It matches the Rfam family "Bacterial small subunit ribosomal RNA", at positions 568 to 796 of the family's 1533-position model. The record is from RNAcentral.